AGUGAACGCUGGCGGUAGGCCUAACACAUGCAAGUCGAACGGCAGCACAGUAAGAGCUUGCUCUUACGGGUGUCGAGUGGCGGACGGGUGAGGAAUACAUCGGAAUCUACUUUUUCGUGGGGGAUAACGUAGGGAAACUUACGCUAAUACCGCAUACGACCUACGUGUGAAAGCAGGGGAUCUUCUGACCUUGCGCGAUUGAAUGAGCCGAUGUCGGAUUAGCUAGUUGGCGGGGUAAAGGCCCACCAAGGCGACGAUCCGUAUCUGGUCUGAGAGGAUGAUCAGCCACACUGGAAGUGAGACAGGGCCCCGACUCCUACGGGAGGCAGCAGUGGGGAAUAUUGGACAAUGGGGGCAAGCCUGAUCCAGCCAUACCGCGUGGGUGAAGAAGGACUUAGGGUUGUAAAGCCCUUUUGUUGGGAAAGAAAAGCAGCAGGUUAAUACCCCGCUGUUCUGACGGUACCCAAAGAAUAAGCACCGGCUAACUUCGUG
Molecule: ribosomal RNA, 492 nt
Filed under: uncultured bacterium
Lineage: Bacteria
Description: partial 16S ribosomal RNA
Rfam family: Bacterial small subunit ribosomal RNA
Source: RNAcentral